Molecule: long non-coding RNA, 948 nt
Organism: Vicia villosa (hairy vetch)
Lineage: Eukaryota; Viridiplantae; Streptophyta; Magnoliopsida; Fabales; Fabaceae
Exons: 6
Source: RefSeq, a predicted model, not a curated record
UCACGACAGUGACCUACCGUCGCCCCCCCUAAAAGUUUCCUUUCAUGCUAUUUUGCCAAAAAUUUAUCAAAGGGCUAUUUUCACUUUCACAUCUACAAAUCCAUUCAGUAAGGUUUGCUUCCAAAUUUUAUAUUUAGAAUACCUCGCGUUGUGAAUCGAUUCAGAGUUAGGUUCGCUUCCAAUUUUCAGAUACAUAGCGGCAUAAAAUCUACAAGGGUAAAAAAGUUCCUCCUUUGGAUUUUUAGGGUUAGAACGAAACGCGGCUUAAAGGAAAACUCAAAGGAACUUGGAACCAACUCUCUUAAUCGGAAGACACAAACCAACUUGGAACCAGUGUUCUCAACAGGAAAACACAAACGAAAAUCUUCAAGGAUACUCAAGAGGUUUGGCAAAUCCAACACUGAUAAUCUAGACCUUUUAUAUUGAGGAGAAUAUUUUCAAUGAGGUUGUCGCUUUAGUUGAUGCAAAACAUGCUGAACUUCAUCUUGACGAGGUUAUAAGCCAAAAGGCGCGAGCAAGGUUCUUGGUAAAUACUAAAGUGUACUUCCCCUCAUCUGCAUUUGUGCAUUCACGAAAUCCUCACACCUCACAUGGGAGCUACAUCAUCAGUGACUUCAUAUACAUGUUCAUACUAGGCAUCUCUCGUGUGGCAUAUACAUCUCUGACCGUACCUUCGAGAGGAGACAACAUAGGACUUCUAGACAAGUUGCUAGCCAAACUGAAUAUCGGGGCAUUUGAACUUAAACUAAGUUCAUGUUAAAAUUUCCUUAAUAAUUAACAAAUAUGCUUUGUUGAUGAAUCUAGUAGCAAGGAGUUUAGAGGAAUUGCAGUCAGAUAGAAUUUUAAGUACUUAUUGGUGUUUUAAUCUUCUUAGAACUACACUUGUUGCAUCGACAGUUUGUUUGGCUGCGGAGCCAAUGCAUCUCUUUUUUCAUCUUUUAUUACCAA